Molecule: long non-coding RNA, 563 nt
Organism: Gavialis gangeticus (Gharial)
Lineage: Eukaryota; Metazoa; Chordata; Crocodylia; Gavialidae
Exons: 3
Source: RefSeq, a predicted model, not a curated record
GGCUGGGAUAGAGAAGCAAAUUGGAUGGGUAAAUUUCCAGUUACUGUGGACAUUAGUAACCACACUGCACUUCACCAUUGACCGGAUCACUUGCCACCCUUAAAUGCAGUGGCUAUGAAUUGCCUGGCUUUCUCUCAGUACACACAGCUCUGCAGGAUCCCAGGCUGGAAGAGAGACAUCUAUUUUCUGGAUCUGGUUCAACUGUUCUGGGGAAGAGCUAUUCUGCUAUCCACAGCUGAUUUCAUCUCUAAAUCAUAGAAAUUUUACACUUCUGCGGCUUCAGGAAUGCACAAAGUCUGCCCUGUGAGACUAACUGAAAACAGACAGCCACAUAAUGAGUCCAGAGGGGUUUAUGGAGAAAAGGGGUUUAUGGAGUAAUGAGGAAAUCGCUUACUUGAUGGAAGUCUAGUCAAAAAUAGUAUCAAGGAAGCAGCACUUUUACUUAAGCAUUUUGUAUACCUAUAGCAGGUGGGUCUGACCAAGGAAUAUCCAGAUUGGGAUUUCAGCUUUGAGGUUCAAAAAGGGAGGGUGGUGGUUCCAGCUCAAUAUGAACAAGACAUAGG